CCAAGAACUUAAAGCUCCUGUACCAAUCAGCAGAGGAAGUACUGAAGGACCAAAUUCUAUUGGUCAAUAUUUCCUGGAACUUCAUUGAGGCUCAAGUGCUCCAUGUCUAGUUUCCACAUUUGCUUGAGGAGAAAAAAAGAAGAAGCUAUUUUAAUGACAAGUCAUUGUUACAUUGAUUUUAAACGACACCACCACAAAAAUUGGUCUUUGGACUCAAAAGAAUCAAUUUGCUAGUCAUGCUAACAAGGCUAGUAUGAGGAAAUUCUGUGGAAAAGUUAGCUGAAAGUUUAUGUGUUGUG
This is a long non-coding RNA of Pistacia vera, 299 nucleotides long. RefSeq lists it as uncharacterized. The record is from RefSeq and is a predicted model, not a curated record. The transcript is spliced from 3 exons. NCBI's taxonomy places the organism in Eukaryota, Viridiplantae, Streptophyta, Magnoliopsida, Sapindales, Anacardiaceae.